Molecule: RNA transcript, 1813 nt
Organism: Hevea brasiliensis (rubber tree)
Lineage: Eukaryota; Viridiplantae; Streptophyta; Magnoliopsida; Malpighiales; Euphorbiaceae
Gene name: shewanella-like protein phosphatase 1
Exons: 10
Source: RefSeq, a predicted model, not a curated record
GAGAUAAAAGAAAAAGAAGAUAGCCCAAGAGUAACUGGCUGAGAACAAAGUGUUUUCCUCCGAAUGAAGAAAUGAAAGGGUACCAAAGAGAGUGUUGAUGAUGAUAUGCAAGUAAACCAAAUGGCUUCAUUGUAUUUGUGUUUGAAUUCUUGGUCUUCUUCUUCUUCUCCUUCCCAGCUCCCUCGCAGACUAGGAGAAACAUACUCUUCUUUAUCUACUUAUUCUUCUUCUUAUGCUGCCUUUAGUAAUGGUAGACGCACCAGAGGAUCCUUGAAACCCUUAGUUAUUAGUGGAGACCCUCCAACUUUUGUCUCUGCUCCAGGUCGCCGUAUUGUUGCUGUUGGGGAUCUGCACGGAGAUCUUGAACAAGCUAGACGUGCACUUGAGAUGGCUGGUGUCUUGAGUUCUGAUGGAGAAGAUUUGUGGAUUGGUGGAGAAACAGUAUUGAUUCAACUUGGAGAUAUACUUGAUCGAGGUGAAGAUGAGAUAGCUAUAUUAUCCUUGUUGCGUUCAUUGGAUAUUCAGGCCAAAGCUCAGGGUGGAGCAGUUUUUCAGAUCAACGGGAAUCAUGAGACCAUGAAUGUGGAAGGAGAUUUUAGAUAUGUUGAUUCAGGGGCAUAUGAUGAAUGCACUGAUUUCCUGUCAUACUUGGAUGACUUCAAAUAUGACUGGGAAAAUGCUUUUGCUGGUUGGAUUAGAGUCUCUAAAACACGGAAAGAAGAUCGGAAAUUGUCUCCAAAUUAUUGGGGUGCUUGGAAUCUAGUGAAGAGGCAAAAGGGGGUCAUUGCCAGAUCAAUAUUGUUGAGACCAGGCGGUCCAUUGGCAUGUGAAUUAGCUCGGCAUUCUGUUAUUCUCAAGGUCAAUGACUGGAUAUUCUGUCAUGGUGGACUUCUUCCUCUCCAUGUUGCAUAUGGCAUAGAGAGGAUGAACAGUGAAGUAUCUCACUGGAUGAAAGGUCUUAGUGGCGGUGAUACUAGUCCUGACAUUCCUUUUAUGGCAACCAAGGGAUAUGACAGUGUUGUUUGGAACCGAUUAUACUCGAGAGAUAUGUCAAAUUUGGAGGACCAUCAGAGUAAACAGAUACUUUCUAUUCUUGAAGAAACAUUGCAAGCAGUAGGGGCUAAAGCAAUGGUGGUGGGGCAUACUCCGCAAACUGCAGGGGUAAACUGUAAAUAUAACUGUAGCAUAUGGCGCGUUGAUGUGGGAAUGUCUAGUGGAGUUCUUCAUUCAAGACCAGAGUAAAGAAGUUGCCUCUUCUGUCAUGGUGGAGGCUAGCCUUACAACACAAUGUACUAUAGAACUUUCUGCUGCCAUUCAAAAGUACUAGAAAUAAAAGAUGACAAAGCAAGAGUAAUAAGGAGCAGAAGGGCUACAUUUUAUGAACUUCAAGUUGCCGACUAUCCAGAAGAAUAACGGAUGAUUCAGCCAGGCAUCAUUCUGUAUUGAGUUCCUUCUUUAUAUUAGCCAUCUUUUACCAUGCCUGAUAAAAUUAAAUGAUUUCUGCAUAUUCCAGAGGCUGGAAUGGAUGUAGCCUGUUACAUUACUAAUUCCCCAAAAUGAUUAUAUGGGGAUUUAGAUAUGGGUAAAUAAAGGCCUUAGGCUCUCUCCGCCUAAUGGCUAGCUUUUAGGGGUGAGUUGUGCCAAAUCACUUUGCAUUAUGCAAAGCCAACACUUGAUAUGCGCUACUGCGAGUCUGGUUAUAACUGUUGGUAGGCCCUUGUCAAUUACAUUUUCGACACAUCAAUUGAACAAUUAGUGGUUUCAACAGCAAAGAAAAUAAAAGCUUCUGCAUUAUUCUGCUUUUGAUUCAUUA